RNAcentral lists this ribosomal RNA (930 nucleotides) under Withius sp. SA1. Its description in RNAcentral is "SSU rRNA". It matches the Rfam family "Eukaryotic small subunit ribosomal RNA", at positions 34 to 938 of the family's 1831-position model. Lineage: Eukaryota; Metazoa; Arthropoda; Arachnida; Pseudoscorpiones; Withiidae. The record is from RNAcentral.
GUCUCAAAGAUUAAGCCAUGCAUGUCUAAGUACACGCCCCUGUAAGGCGAAACCGCGAAUGGCUCAUUAAAUCAGUUAUGGUUUCUUAGAUCGUACAUACCCUACUUGGAUAACUGUGGUAAUUCUAGGGCUAAUACAUGCAACUGAGCCCCCGGGGCAACUUGUUGCCGCGGGGGUGCUUUUAUUAGGACAAAACCAGACCUGCGCGUCUCCCGACGUGCGGGAUUUGCGGUGGUGACCCCUGGAUAACAGUGGCGGAUCGCACGGCCUCUGCGCCGGCGACGCAUCUUUCAAGUGUCUGCCUUAUCAACUGUCGAUGGUAGGUUAUGCGCCUACCAUGGUUGCUACAGGUAACGGGGAAUCAGGGUUCGGUUCCGGAGAGGGGGCCUGAGAGACGGCCACCACAUCCAAGGAAGGCAGCAGGCGCGCAAAUUACCCAAUCCCGGCUCGGGGAGGUAGUGACGAAAAAUAACGAUACGGGACUCUUACGAGGCUCCGUAAUCGGAAUGAGCACAGCUCAAGCCAUUUAGCGAGGAUCCAUUCGAGGGCCAGUCAGGUGCCAGCAGCUGCGGUAAAACCUGCUCGGAUAGCAUAUAUUAAAGUUGUUGCGGUUAAAAAGCCCGUAGUUGUAUCUCAGUCGCGUCCCCGGGGCGAUGCGUCGCGAGGCGCGAUUCGUCCGGGGCCGGCAGCCGUGUCGGCGGGCUCGGUUGGCCUUCGCUGGCUGACCUUGUUCUCCGGCGAUUUUACUUUGAAAAAAUUAGGGUGCUCAAGGCAGGCUCUUCGGCCUGGAUAAUGGUGCAUGGAAUAAUGGAAUAGGACCUCGGUUCUAUUUUGUUGGUUUUCGGAAUCCGAGGUAAUGAUUGAGAGGGACAGACGGGGGCAUUCGUACUGCGGCGCUAGAGGUGAAAUUCUUGGACCGCCGCAAGACGA